GGAAUCGCCUUACUCUUMSGGAGGCAGCMGUGGGGAAUUUYGACARUGGGGGCAACCCUGAUCCAGCCAUGCCGCGUGAGWGAAGAARGSCCUUCGGGGUUGUAAAGCUCUUUCGGCCGGAACGAAAUCGYGUACGUGAAUMAYGUGCGUGGAUGACGSUACUGGAAGAAGAAGCACCGGCUAACUACGUGCCAGCAGCCGCGGUAAUACGUAGGGUGCGAGCGUUAAUCGGAAUUACUGGGCGUAAAGCGUGCGUAGGCGGUUUUGUAYGUCAGAUGUGAAAUCCCCGGGCUUAACCUGGGAACUGCGUUUGAAACUACAGAGCUAGAGUGUGGCAGAGGGGGGUGGAAUUCCACGUGUAGCAGUGAAAUGCGUAGAUAUGUGGAGGAACACCGAUGGCGAAGGCAACCCCCUGGGCCGAUACUGACGCUGAGGCACGAAAGCGUGGGGAGCAAACAGGAUUAGAUACCCUGGUAGUCCACGCCCUAAACUAUGUCAACUAGUUGUCGGGGAAGCAAUUCUUUGGUAACGAAGCUAACGCGUGAAGUUGACCGCCUGGGGAGUACGGUCGCAAGAUUAAAACUCAAAUGAAUUGACGG
Molecule: ribosomal RNA, 599 nt
Filed under: uncultured Nitrosomonadaceae bacterium
Lineage: Bacteria; Pseudomonadati; Pseudomonadota; Betaproteobacteria; Nitrosomonadales; Nitrosomonadaceae
Description: partial 16S ribosomal RNA
Rfam family: Bacterial small subunit ribosomal RNA
Source: RNAcentral